Molecule: long non-coding RNA, 1043 nt
Organism: Malaclemys terrapin pileata
Lineage: Eukaryota; Metazoa; Chordata; Testudines; Emydidae
Exons: 4
Source: RefSeq, a predicted model, not a curated record
GCCAUCAAGGCUCCAAGCUCCCCUACUUUCCUGGCCCAGGUGAUAGCUAUGAAGAAUGAGGUCUUGAGGGACAAAUGAAGGAGGGAACAGUUCACAUAGGUUCAAAUGUAGGUUUCCUCAGUGCUUUGAGGACUAUGUUGAGGACCCAUUGUGGAGUUGGCUCUUUGAUGGGAGGGAAAAGAUUGAACAGGCCUUCGAUAAACUUCACAGUGGGUGAAGACAGAAAACCCCUCAAUGGGGGCAAUGAAAAACUGUGAUGGCAGCUAAGUGAACCUUAAUGGAGCUCAGUGAUAAAGCUGUGGUUUUUAAAUUCAGCAGGUAAUUGAGAACGUAUGUCAGGUCUCGAGACAAGGAAUAGAUCAGUGGUUGCACCAAGUCUGGAAGCAUUUCCACUUCUGCAGGACCUUGAGCAGUAAAGGCACUGGGGGAUAAGCAUAUUGCAAUACUUGAGUCCAAGAAAUGAUUAUGGCAUCUCCUAUUGAGUUGUGGCCAUGCCCUCCCCUUGAUCAGAAUAGUCUGCACUUCCCCUCGGAUGGUGUCAUAAAGAGAUCUACCUCUGGAUGACCCCAGGGAGGAUUGCCUCUUGAGAAGUCCAUUUGCCCUGAGCUGUGAAGUUCUGAAAGCAUGCAUCCCAGCCUGUGAUGGAGGCAUCUGUAACAAUGAUCCUCAUUGGAGGAGGCUGCAAGAACAGAACUCCCACACACGCCUUUUGUGGAUCCUUCCACCAAUUUAGAGAAUUGAGGACCUUCCAAGCACAGUGCAUGUCCUAGCCAAGACUGCGAGGGAUCUACAGAAGAUCACAGAAGAAGAUCCAAACUCCAUAGUUCCAGUUACCUGUCCCUGAUCAAGUCCUGUCUUACCUGUUGUACCCAGUUCAUAAAGUCCAUUGUCGUGGGUCCAUUCCUCUGAACCUGGUGUAGUAUGCUGUGUAUACCUGUACCUUUCCUGUGGUAAACCACCACCCCCUUGUCUUGUGGGUUUGGGACCUUGACUUCAUGCCAGUUUUUUAAGCCAAUCUGUACCUGAAUACUCUUUGUGGUACU